GGUUGUAGCUCAAUGGUAGAGCACUUGCCUAGCAUGCUUGAAGCACUGGGUUCGAUCCUCAGCUCAUCA
RNAcentral lists this transfer RNA (69 nucleotides) under Marmota monax (woodchuck). RNAcentral describes it as "tRNA.Ala". The stretch from base 5 to 63 matches the Rfam family "tRNA", at positions 7 to 64 of the family's 71-position model. Rfam says of the family: Transfer RNA (tRNA) molecules are approximately 80 nucleotides in length. Their secondary structure includes four short double-helical elements and three loops (D, anti-codon, and T loops). Further hydrogen bonds mediate the characteristic L-shaped molecular structure. tRNAs have two regions of fundamental functional importance: the anti-codon, which is responsible for specific mRNA codon recognition, and the 3' end, to which the tRNAs corresponding amino acid is attached (by aminoacyl-tRNA synthetases). tRNAs cope with the degeneracy of the genetic code in two manners: having more than one tRNA (with a specific anti-codon) for a particular amino acid; and 'wobble' base-pairing, i.e. permitting non-standard base-pairing at the 3rd anti-codon position. The record is from RNAcentral. Lineage: Eukaryota; Metazoa; Chordata; Mammalia; Rodentia; Sciuridae.